GACAGAGGUGCCAAGCGUUAGGCGGAAUCACUGGGCUUAAAGCGUGUGUAGGCGGAAUUGUAAGUACCUUGUGAAAGCCCCCGGCUCAACUGGGGAGGGUCAUUCGAUACUGUUCGACUCGAAGGCAGGAGAGGGAAGUGGAAUUCCCGGUGUAGUGGUGAAAUGCGUAGAUAUCGGGAGGAACACCAGUGGCGAAGGCGACUUCCUGGCCUGUUCUUGACGCUGAGGCGCGAAAGCUAGGGGAGCAAACGGG
RNAcentral lists this ribosomal RNA (253 nucleotides) under uncultured bacterium. Its description in RNAcentral is "partial 16S ribosomal RNA". It matches the Rfam family "Bacterial small subunit ribosomal RNA", at positions 524 to 776 of the family's 1533-position model. The record is from RNAcentral.